Molecule: ribosomal RNA, 253 nt
Filed under: uncultured bacterium
Lineage: Bacteria
Description: partial 16S ribosomal RNA
Rfam family: Bacterial small subunit ribosomal RNA
Source: RNAcentral
UACAGAGGGGGCGAGCGUUGUUCGGAAUUACUGGGCGUAAAGGGCGCGUAGGCGGCCCGCUAAGUCGAACGUGAAAUCCCCAGGCUCAACCUGGGAACUGCGUCCGAUACUGGCAGGCUUGAAUCCGGGAGAGGGAUGUGGAAUUCCAGGUGUAGCGGUGAAAUGCGUAGAUAUCUGGAGGAGCACCGGUGGCGAAGGCGGCAUCCUGGACCGGUAUUGACGCUGAGGCGCGAAAGCUAGGGGAGCAAACGGG